Molecule: long non-coding RNA, 326 nt
Filed under: Gossypium barbadense (sea-island cotton)
Lineage: Eukaryota; Viridiplantae; Streptophyta; Magnoliopsida; Malvales; Malvaceae
Description: long non-coding RNA (GBAR_LNC016484)
Source: RNAcentral
UAGGUUGGUUCUUCAGGAUCAAUUACAGCACUAGCCCUCUGGCACAUCUCCGCGAUCAAGUGCGAGUAUAGGAGUCCUCGUGUGCCCUUUGGCACACUGUCUCAUGUUCACAAGGAUCUACUCUUCGUUGUUAACUUGUUAGCCCUACAAGAUAACAUAUAGAAAAAAGCACAAUCAUAGAUAACUUCCGUGACGUGCUGAGUAGGAAAUAAUUUUGCACUAAUAAAGUACAUCCACAUCUUGGCUUUUAGGGUCAUAAUCGAUUGUCGAAAUUGCAAUAGCUUUUAGGUUAACUGCUUUCAAAACCCAAUGGCCUCAACCUUCGG